RNAcentral lists this ribosomal RNA (615 nucleotides) under Triticum aestivum (bread wheat). RNAcentral describes it as "partial small subunit ribosomal RNA". Lineage: Eukaryota; Viridiplantae; Streptophyta; Magnoliopsida; Poales; Poaceae. The record is from RNAcentral.
AUGCGUGGUGGUCGUGCUCGUCGCCAACCAGACCGUUUUACGAAGGAACAUUAUUUCCGGGUGGAAGUAUUUCGUGCAACACUUGAUAUUCAGCUGCAUGAAUUAGAAUUCAGGUUCAAUGACAAGGUACUGGAUCUUUUGACCACAAGUGCUACUCUGAUCCCCAAAAAUAAAUUCAGAUCUUUCAAAGCUGAUGAUAUUUGCGAGUUGGUGAAGAAAUAUUAUCCAGCAGAUUUCACUCAACAGGAAAUCUAUGGAUUGGAGCAACAGCUAAAACACUUUGUUGUGGACGCCUCCAAUGAUAAGGAGUUGAAAAAUGUGUCAACCUUAACAAAUCUUUGUCGAUAUCUCUUUGAGUCAGGGAGGCAUUCUAUCUACAAUUUGGUUGAUCGAUUGUUGCGAUUGCUUCUAACUCUUCCAGUUUCUACAGCAAGUGCCGAGCGAGCAUUCUCUACUUUGAAGAUCAUCAAGACAAGGCUACGUAAUACUAUGGAAGAUGAUUAUCUAGCCAAUAGCUUGCUAGUAAACAUAGAGAGUGAAAUUGUGGAGAAGUACAGCUAUGAAGAUGUUCUUGUGCACUUUAAGGGUGUAAAGAAACGAAGGGCUGAUCUGUAG